Molecule: ribosomal RNA, 941 nt
Filed under: uncultured Neocallimastigales
Lineage: Eukaryota; Fungi; Neocallimastigomycota; Neocallimastigomycetes; Neocallimastigales
Description: partial large subunit ribosomal RNA
Rfam family: Eukaryotic large subunit ribosomal RNA (bases 158-941)
Source: RNAcentral
CGCAUCUGUGCAUGCAGCAUAUCAAUAAGCGGAGGAAAAGUCAACUACCUACGCUUAGGAUGUUGACGAGACUGUCGAUCUCAUCUAUACAUGACUCUGUGCAUAUCAAUAAGCGGAGGAAAAGCUAUACCUACGCUUAGGAUGUUGACGAGACUGUCGAUCUCAUCUAUACAUGACUCUGUGCAUAUCAAUAAGCGGAGGAAAAGAAACUAACAAGGAUUCCCUUAGUAACGGCGAGUGAAGCGGGGAGGAGCUCAAAUUUGAAAUCUUCAAGGGUUUACCUUUACGAAUUGUAGUUUAAAGAAGUGUUUUCUGUUGAGGUUUUGGUAAAAGUUCUUUGGAAUAGGACAUCAUAGAGGGUGAGAAUCCCGUAUUUGACCUUUACUUUCAACUUUGCGAUACACUUUCAAAGAGUCGGAUUGUUUGGGAAUGCAGUCCAAAAUGGGUGGUAAAUUUCAUCUAAAGCUAAAUAUUGGCGAGAGACCGAUAGCGAACAAGUACCGUGAGGGAAAGAUGAAAAGAACUUUGAAAAGAGAGUUAAACAGUACGUGAAAUUGUCAAAAGGGAAGCGUUUGACACCAGUGUUGUUUUUCUGAAAAUCAAUUAAAGAACUGUUUAUGCUAAGCUGUUUAGACUUUAUCAGCUAUCUGUUUAGUUUUGAGCUUUUCUUUAAUGCACUUUUCAGUUAACAAGUCAACAUCAAUUUCUUUUGCUGUAAAAAAGCUUGAGGAAGGUGGCUUGAGAUUCGUCUUAAGUGUUUAUAGCCUCUUGCCUAUGCAGUCGGAGAGAUUGAGGUCUGCAGCGUAGAUCCUUCGGGGCUAAAUGCAUUUGUGCUAAGUUAUAGCAUUUUAUAGACAACUUGUUGACUAUGAUUUGUCUUGUAGCUUACUCGCUUAUGUUAUUUUACCUACGCUUAGGAUGUUGACGAGACUGUCGAUCUC